CCUGCGGAGGGAUCAUUACCGAGUUCAUGCCCUGACGGGUAGACCUCCCACCCUAUGUUAUAUUACCUUUGUUGCUUUGGCGGGCCGCCCGGCUUCGGCCAGGCUACCGGCUCCAGCUGGUAAGCGCUCGCCAGAGGACCCCCAACUCUGAAUAUCAGUGUCGUCCGAGUACUAUAAAAUAGUUAAAACUUUCAACAACGGAUCUCUUGGUUCUGGCAUCGAUGAAGAACGCAGCGAAAUGCGAUAAGUAAUGUGAAUUGCAGAAUUCAGUGAAUCAUCGAAUCUUUGAACGCACAUUGCGCCCCUUGGUAUUCCGAGGGGCAUGCCUGUUCGAGCGUCAUUACAACCCUCAAGCACUGCUUGGUAUUGGGCUCCGCUGGCUCCAGCGGGCCUUAAAAUCAGUGGCGGCGCCGUUUGGGCUCUGAGCGUAGUAAAUAUCCUCGCUAUAGAGACCAGGCGGUUCUUGUCAUCAACCCCCAACUUUCUAAGUUUGACCUCGGAUCAGGUAGGGAUACCCGCUGAACUUAAGCAUAUCAUA
This 538-nucleotide ribosomal RNA is filed under the name Helotiales sp. RNAcentral describes it as "eukaryotic LSU rRNA". The stretch from base 187 to 340 matches the Rfam family "5.8S ribosomal RNA". Lineage: Eukaryota; Fungi; Ascomycota; Leotiomycetes; Helotiales. The record is from RNAcentral.